This 324-nucleotide ribosomal RNA is filed under the name uncultured bacterium. RNAcentral describes it as "bacterial SSU rRNA". It matches the Rfam family "Bacterial small subunit ribosomal RNA", at positions 29 to 334 of the family's 1533-position model. The record is from RNAcentral.
AACGAACGCUGGCGGCGUGCCUAACACAUGCAAGUCGAACGCGAAAAUUACCUUCGGGUGAUGAGUAGAGUGGCGCACGGGUGAGUAACACGUGGGGUAACCUAUCCUAAGGUGGGGGAUAACUCCGGGAAACCGGAGCUAAUACCGCAUGAGACCACGCAGUAAUUCUGUGUGGGAAAAGUGGAGGACCUCUUCGGAGGCUUCAUGCCAUAGGCUGGGCCCGCGGCCCAUCAGUUUGUUGGUAGGGUAAUGGCCUACCAAGACUAAGACGGGUAGCUGGUCUGAGAGGAUGAUCAGCCACACUGGAACUGAGACACGGUCCAG